RNAcentral lists this ribosomal RNA (449 nucleotides) under uncultured bacterium. RNAcentral's name for it is "bacterial SSU rRNA". It matches the Rfam family "Bacterial small subunit ribosomal RNA", at positions 954 to 1403 of the family's 1533-position model. The record is from RNAcentral.
AUGGGAACGCGAAGAACCUUACCUACUCUUGACAUCCAGAGAACUUUCCAGAGAUGGAUUGGUGCCUUCGGGAACGUCUGAGACAGGUGCUGCAUGGCUGUCGUCAGCUCGUGUUGUGAAUGUUGGGUUAAGUCCCGCAACGAGCGCAACCCGUUAUCCUUUGUUGCCAGCGGUUCGGCCGGGAACUCAAAGGAGACUGCCAGUGAUAAACUGGAGGAAGGUGGGGAUGACGUCAAGUCAUCAUGGCCCUUACGAGUAGGGCUACACACGUGCUACAAUGGCGCAUACAAAGAGAAGCGACCUCGCGAGAGCAAGCGGACCUCAUAAAGUGCGUCGUAGUCCGGAUUGGAGUCUGCAACUCGACUCCAUGAAGUCGGAAUCGCUAGUAAUCGUAGAUCAGAAUGCUACGGUGAAUACGUUCCCGGGUCUUGUACACACCGAGUCGUGGG